CGUAAAGAGCUCGUAGGCGGUUUGUCGCGUCUGUCGUGAAAGUCCGGGGCUUAACCCCGGAUCUGCGGUGGGUACGGGCAGACUAGAGUGCAGUAGGGGAGACUGGAAUUCCUGGUGUAGCGGUGGAAUGCGCAGAUAUCAGGAGGAACACCGAUGGCGAAGGCAGGUCUCUGGGCUGUAACUGACGCUGAGGAGCGAAAGCAUGGGGAGCGAACAGGAUUAGAUACCCUGGUAGUCCAUGCCGUAAACGUUGGGCACUAGGUGUGGGGACCAUUCCACGGUUUCCGCGCCGCAGCUAACGCAUUAAGUGCCCCGCCUGGGGAGUACGGCCGCAAGGCUAAAACUCAAAGGAAUUGACGGGGGCCCGCACAAGCGGCGGAGCAUGCGGAUUAAUUCGAUGCAACGCGAAGAACCUUACCAAGGCUUGACAUGUUCUCGAUCGCCGUAGAGAUACGGUUUCCCCUUUGGGGCGGGAUCACAGGUGGUGCAUGGUUGUCGUCAGCUCGUGUCGUGAGAUGUUGGGUUAAGUCCCGCAACGAGCGCAACCCUCGUUCCAUGUUGCCAGCACGUAAUGGUGGGGACUCAUGGGAGACUGCCGGGGUCAACUCGGAGGAAGGUGGGGACGACGUCAAAUCAUCAUGCCCCUUAUGUCUUGGGCUUCACGCAUGCUACAAUGGCCGGUACAAUGGGUUGCGAUACUGUGAGGUGGAGCUAAUCCCAAAAAGCCGGUCUCAGUUCGGAUUGGGGUCUGCAACUCGACCCCAUGAAGUCGGAGU
Molecule: ribosomal RNA, 776 nt
Filed under: uncultured bacterium
Lineage: Bacteria
Description: bacterial SSU rRNA
Rfam family: Bacterial small subunit ribosomal RNA
Source: RNAcentral